AACAAACGUUAAUGCCCAAAAAAGUUAAAAAUAAAUGGCUGCCAUAAAUUACAAGGUCCAUACAUUUCUAUUCUUGUGUGACAAAUUUCUCCAAUAUAAUGCAUCUGGAGAGGCAGGCGUGAGAGAAGUCAUCCAAACCUGUCCUGAAACAUUAUUAACAAGCCCUAUCUAGCAAGUAUGCUCUAUGAAAUACCCUUUUUUUUUUUUUUUUUUCUUGUAGCAAUUCAGUAUACAAAUGGUGACUAAUCAGUUGCAUUUUUAUGUUUGCCUGGUGAGAUUAUCCUAACUGGAAUAACAGUUCUUCCAUAUAUGUUGCCCAUGCCCAUAAAUGCAGCUUCUGAAGCAGAAGUAGUAGACCAAUGCAGAUGGCACACCCACUGCCAUUUGCUUUAGACAUUUCAUAAUAUCAUCUGUUUUUGGUAGAUGAUGAAUGCUUUUAUAUCUCAAGUGUCUUAGAACCCUCCUUAUCUAAAGGGCUUUUUGA
RNAcentral lists this unclassified non-coding RNA (484 nucleotides) under Hevea brasiliensis (rubber tree). Lineage: Eukaryota; Viridiplantae; Streptophyta; Magnoliopsida; Malpighiales; Euphorbiaceae. The record is from RNAcentral.